Molecule: ribosomal RNA, 499 nt
Filed under: uncultured bacterium
Lineage: Bacteria
Description: bacterial SSU rRNA
Rfam family: Bacterial small subunit ribosomal RNA
Source: RNAcentral
UCGAGCGGACAGAUGGGAGCUUGCUCCCUGAAGUCAGCGGCGGACGGGUGAGUAACACGUGGGCAACCUGCCUGUAAGACUGGGAUAACUUCGGGAAACCGGAGCUAAUACCGGAUAACACCGAGGACCUCAUGGUCCUUGGUUGAAAGAUGGCUUCGGCUAUCACUUACAGAUGGGCCCGCGGCGCAUUAGCUAGUUGGUGAGGUAACGGCUCACCAAGGCGACGAUGCGUAGCCGACCUGAGAGGGUGACCGGCCACACUGGGACUGAGACACGGCCCAGACUCCUACGGGAGGCAGCAGUAGGGAAUCUUCCGCAAUGGACGAAAGUCUGACGGAGCAACGCCGCGUGAGCGAUGAAGGCCUUCGGGUCGUAAAGCUCUGUUGUUAGGGAAGAACAAGUACCGCUCGAAUAGGGCGGUACCUUGACGGUACCUAACCAGAAAGCCACGGCUAACUACGUGCCAGCAGCCGCGGUAAUACGUAGGUGGCAAGCGUUG